GGGCAGUUUGUAAAACCAAAGGGAGGGAAAUCCUCGGUCAUCCGAGUCCUCCAGGUCUGCUCGACCCUCUCUUUCUCUAUGGGGCGUGUGCUGGAUCUGAGAGGUUGGAGCUCUGGAGCAAUACCCUUAUUCCGCUGUUGCCUUAGGUCUUUACACGGGGAACAGGGCGGACCUAGUUCGAAAAGUGCAUAAACCUCGGACGGUGGCGCAGACUUGAGCUCAGCAACCGCUAGAGAAGGAAAGAUGCUGUGAUGAGAACCAGGCAAUGCCAGCCAAUUGGUCCGAUUUCACAGUCUGCGCACACCAGAAACUUGAUGUUGCCCACGUCCUUGGUGAAGCCCACGUUCUCAAAGAUGAACAUGUCAUCAACCAGCCAGUGCUCCUGGAGAAGCUCGCCGUCAGGAUUGCUGCCAUCAGCCAGAGCUGGUUUCUUUCUCAUGGAGGGAAGGAAAAGCUGCAGUGGAAAAGAACACAAAGAAUGCAAGAGCUGACUGGCCAGUCACGUCAUCACCCCCAUUCCACUCACACAUUACACUGCUCCCUAGCACUUUCUCGGAAUGAAAACAAAAUGAGGAGCCCGAUCAUUGAUGGAUGAGGAUGCUGGGCGGCUCCUCUGUUGCCUCUAGUCCAUGCCCUGAUUCUUACGAGACAUUAAAGAGGUAACAUGCUGUUUCCAACUGGCUUCACUGCUAUCUUUACCAUGGUCCAUAAGGCCCUGCCUGUUCCUAAUCUCCCUCCAGCCACACUGGCCUUGCCUUCUUCAAACAGGGUAAGUGUGCUCUGCCCUCAGAUCCUGGCAAGGCCGGUUCCUUCAUGAUAUUCAGCUCAAAUGUAACCUCUUCGGGAGGUCUUCUCUAACCAAACAAUCUGAAUUAGCUUCCCAUACUGCCCACUAUGUUUUAUUUUAUACUUUUUAAAGUUUACUUAACUAUUUUGAGAGAGACAUCAAGUGGGAGAGGGCGGGAGAAAAGAGAGAAUCUCAAGCAGGCUCCACACUGUCAGCAUGGAGACCAACGCGGGGCUUGAACUCACGAAGCGUGAGAUGAUGACCUAAGCUGAAACCAAGAGCUGGUCGCUUAACCAACGGAGCCACCCAAGGGUCCCUAUGUUUUUUUAUAUGGCUUUACUGAGGUAUAGUUGACACAUAUACUGCACAAUACUUAAAGUAUACAAUUUGAUACAUUUUGGCCCAGGCAUAUGCAGAUAAAUCAUUACCAGCAAGAUACCAAGCAUAUUCAUUACCCCCAAAGUCUCCUUAUGCCACUACCUCUUUAUUUUCUACUUACCAUUCUCUGAACUUAAUGUAUUGGCUUAUUUACCAUGGGUCUCCCUCCACUAAAAUGUAAGCCCCAGGAAAGGAAGGAGCUUACCUUUCCUGUUCACUACUAUAUCCCCAGUGCCUAGAGUAAUAACUGGCAUAGAGCAGGAACUCAAAUAUUUGUCAAAAGAAUAAAUACAGGAUACCUGGCUUUGCUCUAUUCCAUCACUGUAAGGUGUGUGCUGGAUUUAUCUUACAAAAGAACAUUAACAAGGAAAAUCUAGUUCUAGAAUUCGGAAUAGCAUCCCAAGGAUCCUUGUACCCACAAAUCAACAUGCCUUCCCAAUCACUACGAGAAAGCCUCUGGCACACGCGCGUGUAAGUACACACACACACAAACACACACCCUUUAAUUUCUUCCAUAUGGUUAGUUCACACACCUUUAGCAGCCCCACAGUAUUGCAAGAUACAUACAGCAAAGCUCGUUACUCCUCUGCUCUCAUCGAAAUGGCUACUGCCAAUACACUUAUUUUCCACCCUAUGAAACACUUUUCAGUUUUUACUUUAUUAUGACUAUGAAAAUAUUUGCUACAAAGCCAAGUAGUAGUCUA
Molecule: long non-coding RNA, 1869 nt
Organism: Leopardus geoffroyi (Geoffroy's cat)
Lineage: Eukaryota; Metazoa; Chordata; Mammalia; Carnivora; Felidae
Exons: 2
Source: RefSeq, a predicted model, not a curated record